GACGAACCGUGCGAACGUUGUUCGGAAUCACUGGGCUUAAAGGGCGCGUAGGCGGGCGGCCAAGUCAGGGGUGAAAUCUUUCGGCUCAACCGGAAAAGUGCCUCUGAUACUGGUCGCCUCGAGGGAGGUAGGGGUCUGCGGAACUUCCGGUGGAGCGGUGAAAUGCUUAGAUAUGACACAGAACACCGAUUGCGAAGGCAGCUAACUAAGUCAUAACUGACGCUGAUGCACGAAAGCGUGGGGAGCAAACAGG
This 253-nucleotide ribosomal RNA is filed under the name uncultured bacterium. Its description in RNAcentral is "partial 16S ribosomal RNA". It matches the Rfam family "Bacterial small subunit ribosomal RNA", at positions 524 to 776 of the family's 1533-position model. The record is from RNAcentral.